ACCCCACGACGCCCGCGCCCCCACCCUCGCACAGCCUCCAGCAACACCCUGCCACCCUCCCCUCCGCGCAGCGCAAGCACCCUGCAUGCCAGCAACUCCGCACCCUCGCGCGCAGCACCUGGGCCCGCACGCAGCACCCUCACCCAACACCCUCCAUUUCCCGCGCUCACCGAGAUCCCCCACCUGCUCCCACGCCGCUGUCGCCCUCCCGCGCACCCCUUCCCGCCCUCCUCACCCCUCUCCUCUCCAGCUUUCGCACCCCGCACCGUUCCCCCACCGUGCCGUCCCCCCGAUUGUCUCCGGGCCUCUCCUCCGUCUCCC
Molecule: long non-coding RNA, 321 nt
Filed under: Homo sapiens (human)
Lineage: Eukaryota; Metazoa; Chordata; Mammalia; Primates; Hominidae
Description: HSALNT0260367
Source: RNAcentral